AGAUCGUUGGGAAACGUACUCGUUACCAUCUUGAUGGUUCCAAGAUCAUGAAGGUCUACUUGGAGGCCAAGGAGAGGAACAACACAGAGUACAAGCUCGAGUCUAUGAUGGGUGUGUACCGGAAACUCACCGGAAAGGAUGUCACCUUUGAGUACCCUGUUGAAGCUUGAAGGUGAUGCUGAAGAAUCAUCAUCAGGAUAGAGAAGAGAGAGAGAGCUUUUGAUUCUGUUUUGUGGUGUCUAGGAUGAAGUUUUGAUUUCAGUUCCUUAUUCACAAUCUUCAUAUUACAAAGACUACUUUCUGUGCUUUUCAGUUUUGAAACCCAUCUUAAUGACUACUUCCUCAUGCUCAAAUACCCUCAACUAUACUUGAGAAAGUCCUUGUGGUUAUUAUAAGGCAAGUAUUCAGAACUGUGUCAUUGCUCUUACCUCCAGUGCUCGAAACUAAAACAAAAUGGACCAAAACUGUGUCAUUGCUUUUUCUAAUAACUUGUACAAUGGACUCAAGUAAUUAGCUAAUAACGAGAAAUGGAUUCAAUCACACUACAGUCUACAUAUUGGCUUUCCUUUCCCACCUUUCCUUAGUAUCAAGCCUGUUCCAAAGACAAAACAUUGCAUGAGAGUGAGGUUUCUCGUUAAAGCUCUUAGUACAAAAAGAGAGAGAGAGAGAGAGAGAGAGAGAGAGAGAGGUUGUUACCCCCAAUACAGCUUCUGUGGCUUCAUUGGUGCUGCUGGCUGCUGUUCUAAGGUAGUAGUAGAAGAAGAAGAAGAAGUUGACUCUUUCAAUACUUUAGAGCUUUCGCCAUCUUCCACUGCUCUUCUCUGCUGCUUAGCUUUAGGUUUCUUUGAAUUGGCUUUUAUCUUCAUACGUCUCUUGUGUAGCUCCUGUUAUAACAUUUAACCAAAUGAGACUACUACACAUAACAUAUGAAGUGAUUCGGUUUACCCAAACCGCAAACUAAACCAAUAAACCGAUGCUUAAUCUCAAAAAUUAAAACCGAACCGUAUUAAUUUCAUAAAUUUCGUAACUGAUGCGGAGGCUUUGAGAAUCCGACCUGUAAUUUGGAUAUCUGUUUCUGGGUGACGUUGGAUCGGUUGAAAUUAGGCUGAAGAGACUGUGUUGACGCUAACAAUGCUUCUUUUCGAUUCUCCUCUGCUUCUUCUCUCUCUAUUUCCUCUCUCUUCCUCGUCGUCGCCGUCAAGGUUUCUCCCUCGUCGUCCAUCGCUGGUUCUUCGAUAAAUUUUUAGAAUGUUGAAAACGACGCCGGACCGGCGUUUAUACCCCCUCACUCUUUUAUAUGUUUUAUCCAAAAUUACCCGUAUGUUUUGAAUUAGUACAUAAUAAACCUAACAGUUUCUGGAAUUAUCAAUUACACCCAAAAUAUAAUAAUGAAGCUUUUUCUUUUUUUUGUCAAAACACACAAAUUAAUUUUAAAUAAUGAUCGUGACAGAGUUGUAAUACUAACGCAAAUCACUAAACAUAUGUUCUUGUCAAACUUUUAUAUAAUUAACUAAUGGUUUCAAGAUUGAUUACAUUAACGUAAAUACUAGUUAUUGUAUCACUGAUCGUGCCGAUACAAGUAGAAUUCUCCAGCUUGGUCUUUAUUUAAUUAGUUAUUUAAUUUUGUUCCUAAAAAAAAGGUCUUUAUUUAAUUACUUGUGACUUGACUAAGCCAAAUUAAUUAGUCCUUGGAAUCACCAGUAGAGGUGUAACUAUCAUGCUUGAUUUAAGAUAUUUGAUGUAUUAAUAAUCGCCCUUGUAUUUUUUUUAAACAUACUAGGUAUGUUUCCGCGCUACGCGCGGAUUAUGUAGUUAUAUAUAUAUAUAUAUAUAUAUAUUUUUAGAUAAAUAUAAAUAUAUGUUAUUGAUGGUUUAAUCAUUUUGUAGUAAAAAAACUACAAACUUUAUACACGAAGUAGGAUAAAAUUUUGUUGAUGAUUUCAUUUGGCUGUAAUUGGAAAAAUUAUUGUUGGUCAUUUUGAAUAGGAUUAAGUAAGAAAUAAAUUAUAUUAUUGAUAGAUGGUUAACAGUUCUACUUGGUGUAGCAUAAAAAUAAGAAUUAUUAUAGAAUUUUUGUUGAGCAAAGAAUAACAUCAAAUACAUGACGUCAAAAUAUAAACAAUGUAUUGGCUGUUGAAAGAAAUUAACCGAAGACAUUGGCUUUGUUAAAUCAAGUGGUGGACUUGCAUGUGGUGCAGCAGACUUUGGUUCCAUUGUUUUUCUUUCUGGUUUUAUCUUUAUAAAUUUGUAUGAAGCUCUUAAUAUUCUCCGUCUUUUGUUAAAGUAAAUCGGGUUCUUUAAGUAGAAGUGGGUACCAAUUUCCCUAAAUUUAUAACGAAAGUAAUAGAAUAUUGUUAAGUUACAAAAAAAAAGUAAUAGGAUAUUGUUUAAGGUUAAAAUUUAUAUGCUUUAUUUUUGAAUGUUUGGUUUAAUGCUUGUGGCGAAGUCAAAUUUAUGUUUGCAAGAUUGUAUGUUUUGCAAAAACAAAAUAGUUUACAUAAUAUUUUCCGGUAAAUUAUUUAGUUAUUAAAAUUACUCUAAACCUAUCUAAGUUACAAUGGAUUUACAAUUUUUUUUAAAAAUAUAUAAUUAUAAUGUACUAACUUAUUAUAUUGUAAGUAAAUACCUCUACUAAAAUAUUUAUCUUGUAAUUGAAAAUAAAUAAUUAUUUGAUCUCUAUCUAAUUAUAUAAGUAAUUGUUUUAAAUAUACUUAUUUAUCUUGCAUUUAUUUAGAUGGUUAUUUUUUAAUAAAAAUACAUUAAUUAAAAAUAUCCUUAAAAUUUAAUUUCAUAUAAUUUUAUGAAAAUAUAGUUUCAUAUCUUAGAUAAAGAACUUAACUAAAUGCAAUGAAAAAAAUUAAUCUGAUUUGGAUGAAUUAUUAUCAGAAAUAUUGUAAUUCAGUUUAGAGCGAUAUAUGUAAUUCAACACAUCUGAAAGUUAAUUACCGAACCAAUCUAAAAUUCUUAUACCAAAAUCAAAAUUUAACUAAAAUAAAAAUAGUGUUAUUUAAAAUAAUUUUAUUUAUUUAUAUACAUUUAAAUUACGGAAUGAUUCAAGAUCUAUUAAUAAAUGCAACUGAUGGUGUAAUGUUAGAGCUUUUAUGUAAUUGGUCUAAAGAUGGGGGCUUUAGGUGUUUUAUGUGGAUGGUAUCAUGGUUUAUAGGAAUACAAAACAUGCUCUAGUAUCUAUGAUUGAAUAUAUAAUUUACUUAUCAAUUAGAAAGCUAAGUUCUUUGAUUUGGUAACGUGUAUUGUAAGAAUUAUUUUUUUUUGAAAAUGAUGAUUAGAAUCUAGAAGCUAUAUAUAUAUAUAUAUAUAGUCCAUGGUUUUGAGGAUUUGUUAGUUCGUAUGCCUGAAGCAUUUGCCUUUUUUUUUGACAAAUGAAGAUUCUGUGAAGAUGUUCUCGGCGCAGAACAAGAUCAAGAAGGACAAGAAUGCUGCUCCAACGGAAUGCGAGGAGCAAGUUGCUCAGGCUCUGUUUGAUUUGGAGAACACCAACCAGGAGUUGAAGAGCGAGUUGAAAGAUCUUUACAUCAACCAAGCUGUGUAUGUUUCUUUCCCGUAGGUUGCAUUAGGCUUUAACAAAGUAUAAUAAUUUGGUUUUGUUUAUUGCAGUAACAUGGACAUCGCUGGAAACCGCAAGGCUAUUGUGAUAUACGUCCCAUUCAGAUUGAGGAAAGCCUUCCGCAAGAUUCAUCCCCGUCUCGUUAGAGAGCUUGAGAAGAAGUUUAGUGGAAAGGUACAAACACUUGACCUAAUGAGUAUAUAUUGCAAUGUCUCUUAUUAAUACUCUUUGUCAUUUCCUUCUUUUUAGGAUGUUAUCUUUGUUGCUACAAGAAGGAUCAUGCGUCCACCAAAGAAGGGUGCUGCUGUGCAGAGGCCACGCAACAGAACUCUAACCUCUGUCCAUGAAGCUAUGCUCGAGGAUGUCGCUUACCCUGCUGAGAUCGUUGGGAAACGUACUCGUUACCAUCUUGAUGGUUCCAAGAUCAUGAAGGUCUACUUGGAGGCCAAGGAGAGGAACAACACAGAGUACAAGCUCGAGUCUAUGAUGGGUGUGUACCGGAAACUCACCGGAAAGGAUGUCACCUUUGAGUACCCUGUUGAAGCUUGAAGGUGAUGCUGAAGAAUCAUCAUCAGGAUAGAGAAGAGAGAGAGAGCUUUUGAUUCUGUUUUGUGGUGUCUAGGAUGAAGUUUUGAUUUCAGUUCCUUAUUCACAAUCUUCAUAUUACAAAGAC
RNAcentral lists this long non-coding RNA (4238 nucleotides) under Brassica napus (rape). Its description in RNAcentral is "long non-coding RNA (BNAP_LNC010608)". Lineage: Eukaryota; Viridiplantae; Streptophyta; Magnoliopsida; Brassicales; Brassicaceae. The record is from RNAcentral.